AUUGAACGCUGGCGGCAUGCUUUACACAUGCAAGUCGAACGGUAGAGGGGGCAACCCCUUGAGAGUGGCGAACGGGUGAGUAAUAUAUCGGAACGUGCCCAGUCGUGGGGAUAACGUAGCGAAAGUUACGCUAAUACCGCAUACGAUCUACGGAUGAAAGCGGGGGACUCGCAAGAGCCUCGCGCGAUUGGAGCGGCCGAUAUCAGAUUAGGUAGUUGGUGGGGUAAAGGCUCACCAAGCCAACGAUCUGUAGCUGGUCUGAGAGGACGACCAGCCACACUGGAACUGAGACACGGUCCAGACUCCUACGGGAGGCAGCAGUGGGGAAUAUUGGACAAUGGGCGGCAAGCCUGAUCCAGCCAUGCCGCGUGCAGGAUGAAGG
RNAcentral lists this ribosomal RNA (382 nucleotides) under uncultured bacterium. Its description in RNAcentral is "bacterial SSU rRNA". It matches the Rfam family "Bacterial small subunit ribosomal RNA", at positions 30 to 414 of the family's 1533-position model. The record is from RNAcentral.